AUGGCCCUACGGGACGCAGCAGUGAGGAAUAUUGGUCAAUGGGCGGGAGCCUGAACCAGCCAAGUCGCGUGAGGGAAGACGGUCCUAUGGAUUGUAAACCUCUUUAGGCGGGGAGCAAUGCCGGGCACGCGUGCCCGGAGGGAGAGUACCCGCAGAAUAAGCAUCGGCUAACUCCGUGCCAGCAGCCGCGGGAAUACGGAGGAUGCGAGCGUUAUCCGGAUUUAUUGGGUUUAAAGGGGGCGUAGGCGGAUUUUUAAGUCAGCGGUAAAAUGUCCGGGCUCAACCCGGGACGGCCGGUGAAACUG
This 305-nucleotide ribosomal RNA is filed under the name uncultured bacterium. Its description in RNAcentral is "bacterial SSU rRNA". It matches the Rfam family "Bacterial small subunit ribosomal RNA", at positions 333 to 635 of the family's 1533-position model. The record is from RNAcentral.